GAUGAACGCUGGCGGCGUGCCUAAUACAUGCAAGUCGAGCGAACAGAUGAGGAGCUUGCUCCUCUGACGUUAGCGGCGGACGGGUGAGUAACACGUGGAUAACCUACCUAUAAGACUAGGAUAACUUCGGGAAACCGGAGCUAAUACCGGAUAAUAUAUUGAACCGCAUGGCUCAAUAGUGAAAGACGGUUUUGCUGUCACUUAUAGAUGGAUCCGCGCCGCAUUAGCUAGUUGGUAAGGUAACGGCUUACCAAGGCAACGAUGCGUAGCCGACCUGAGAGGGUGAUCGGCCACACUGGAACUGAGACACGGUCCAGACUCCUACGGGAGGCAGCAGUAGGGAAUCUUCCGCAAUGGGCGAAAGCCUGACGGAGCAACGCCGCGUGAGUGAUGAAGGUCUUCGGAUCGUAAAACUCUGUUAUUAGGGAAGAACAAAUGUGUAAGUAACUAUGCACGUCUUGACGGUACCUAAUCAGAAAGCCACGGCUAACUACGUG
This 497-nucleotide ribosomal RNA is filed under the name uncultured bacterium. Its description in RNAcentral is "partial 16S ribosomal RNA". It matches the Rfam family "Bacterial small subunit ribosomal RNA", at positions 28 to 507 of the family's 1533-position model. The record is from RNAcentral.